Papaver somniferum (opium poppy) is the source of this 1558-nucleotide long non-coding RNA. RefSeq lists it as uncharacterized. The transcript has 4 exons. NCBI's taxonomy places the organism in Eukaryota, Viridiplantae, Streptophyta, Magnoliopsida, Ranunculales, Papaveraceae. The record is from RefSeq and is a predicted model, not a curated record.
GACAACAUUGCUCUAAUUUUCAACCAAGAAGGAAAAAAAGAAAAACAGCCGUGAAGUUAUUCUCAACCUCUUCUCCUAAUUUUCUUAAUAACCUCCGUCUGUGCUGUGUUUCCCAAAUAAUUCAAUGAUCUUGAUUUUUUUGUUCAACCACUUCAUAUUAAAGCUUGGUUUAGUUGGUACGGUAUCACUAGAUGUUGUAUUGGAUUUUUCACGAAAAUCUUGAUUGUUGAUAACAAAUAAAAUAAUUUCCUUCUUCUUCUUCCAAUUUCAGAAAUAGAGAUUGAAUCGUUAGGGUUUAUCAGGAAUAAGAGGGUAAUGCUAUUGAAGUUCUCUCCGGAUUUUUACUGCAACUGAGGCUGCAAGUGAUGCUUUUGUAUAGUGCUUUAGUUGUUUGUGGAAAUGACUGUGUGAAUCUAGAAUGGAAUUUGCAUCAGUCUAUUUGGAGAUGUUCUGCUAUUGAUUUCCUUUUGUGAUUUGGAUUGAGCUAUCAAAAUUAAUGGGAUUGUUUGGAAAGGAUCAUGGCAUGUUUAAGAUCUCAACAUAUUCUUAGUUGCCUCAAGGUCCAAGUUGUAUACAUUUUUUAGGUACGUGUCCAACUGCUCUGAAGUAAAUGGAAAUGGAAUAUUUGGCUCCUCGGGCAUUGAUUGUAUCAUAAUUGGGAAAACUGUUGCGGAUGGGAUUUUUAGUCCUUAAUAUGUUGCCCCAGAAGUGUUGCGUAAAUAUUAUGGAUUGAAAUAUGAUGUUUAGAGUGAAUUUGCAGUUGUUCAAUUAGAUCUAAUUACGAGUGAAGUUCAAAAUGUUGCUGCUGAAGUGUAAUAAUUUACAAGGAAGUUGAAUAUCAGUUGCAACACGGACUCUAUUAUGCAGUUGCUAAACCAAAUUUUCCAGAGAAUGAAGAUCGAAGUGAAGAAAAUGUGAAUGGUAAAGCCGCUAAGAAAGAAAAUUUGGUUAGUGAGUUCAUUGCCCAAUGUGCAUCCAAAUUAUUUUGUAAACCUUUUCUAAAUUAGAGAACCUAUGUUAGAUUCUACCAGAAAAGUCAGAAGCGAACAUCUCCUGGAAAUGAAUCAAAAAGAAAAUCUAAAAUGCGUCAUAGAUGUAUUUCAGAGAUCACGUGGAUUUGAAAACGCUCAUGGAAACAAAGAUCUCUAUCUUUCAUGGUAGAUGACAAGCAAGGAUCAGUCAAGUUGAACAUACCAUAGCAAGUGAAACAUUACUUGCUGGAAAACUUGCCAAGAGACGCAAGGAUGUAGAACCUCAUGACCUGUUGUCAAAUUUAUGAUAGUCCGAAAUGAGAUCAAUCAUGUCCUUUCAAUAAGUUUUUCAGUCCUUUGUCGGCAAAAUUCCUGGAUUACAUCAACACAACUUAAUCCUACUGCAAUCACCAUGGUUAACUUGCCUAUUUUUCUGCUCAGACUGAUGCUUAAACUUCGAUACUCUUUUGUAAAGAAGAGGUUGUGAUUAGUCAAUAGAUUUUGUUAUCAGGACAUUAAAGGGUUAACCUUUAAUUGAAGGGUUGUACUGUAGAUUUAAUUUAGUUUAGGCGAUUGAUUUUCUUCAA